AAACCAACAGGGAUUGCCUUAGUAACGGCGAGUGAAGCGGCAAAAGCUCAAAUUUGAAAUCUGGCACCUUCGGUGUCCGAGUUGUAAUUUGAAGAAGGUAACUUUGGAGUUGGCUCUUGUCUAUGUUCCUUGGAACAGGACGUCACAGAGGGUGAGAAUCCCGUGCGAUGAGAUGCCCAAUUCUAUGUAAAGUGCUUUCGAAGAGUCGAGUUGUUUGGGAAUGCAGCUCUAAGUGGGUGGUAAAUUCCAUCUAAAGCUAAAUAUUGGCGAGAGACCGAUAGCGAACAAGUACAGUGAUGGAAAGAUGAAAAGAACUUUGAAAAGAGAGUGAAAAAGUACGUGAAAUUGUUGAAAGGGAAGGGCUUGAGAUCAGACUUGGUAUUUUGCGAUCCUUUCCUUCUUGGUUGGGUUCUCCGCAGCUUACUGGGCCAGCAUCGGUUUGGAUGGUAGGAUAAUGAUUAAGGAAUGUAUCUCUACUUCGGUGGAGUGUUAUAGCCUUGGUUGAUACUGCCUGUCUAGACCGAGGACUGCGUCUUUGACUAGGAUGCUGGCAUAAUGAUCUUAAGCCAC
RNAcentral lists this ribosomal RNA (570 nucleotides) under Debaryomyces nepalensis. Its description in RNAcentral is "eukaryotic LSU rRNA". It matches the Rfam family "Eukaryotic large subunit ribosomal RNA", at positions 62 to 648 of the family's 3401-position model. Lineage: Eukaryota; Fungi; Ascomycota; Pichiomycetes; Serinales; Debaryomycetaceae. The record is from RNAcentral.